GGGACCAUGUGGGGGCAUGAACCAGGUUCUCGUUCGCAAUGAGAAGGUCGCAGGUUCGAAUCCUGUCGGCUCCACCA
This 77-nucleotide transfer RNA is filed under the name Pedosphaera sp. Its description in RNAcentral is "tRNA-Ala". The record is from RNAcentral. Lineage: Bacteria; Pseudomonadati; Verrucomicrobiota; Pedosphaerae; Pedosphaerales; Pedosphaeraceae.